Molecule: non-coding RNA, 3818 nt
Organism: Anas platyrhynchos (mallard)
Lineage: Eukaryota; Metazoa; Chordata; Aves; Anseriformes; Anatidae
Source: RefSeq, a predicted model, not a curated record
GCAUGUGCAACAUUGUCUCUCUGGGGCCUCUUGUUGGAAAAAUAUCCUUUAAAUGCAAUGUUUAAGAUCUGGGAAGAAGAUGUAUGCUGAAAUCAUGAGCAUUGACCAAGACCUCCUGUGAAUAGUUUUAAUUUUUAUAUUCAAUGAUUGUGUACCAGCAACCUGAAAAUCCUCUGUCCCCGUCAUCUCCUACCACAUCUCUUGAGGUGUGUGUUUGAAACCAGAAGGAUCCAGACGGAGAAGCCUUGGCUACACUGAAUAGCCCCAAGUUCUUCCUUGACAAAACUGCUUAACUCCAGUGGGACUCCAGCAGUGAUGAAUUCUGACCUUUACAAGAAAUCCAAAGCAGAGCAAGAGAGUGUCUCUGUUUUCUCAUUUAAAUUUUACACUUGAAGGACAUACAUACAUUUUAAACCCACCUCUUUAAUCCUUGCAGCUGAACCAUUCAGCUCUUGUGUUGCCACUGAGAAUUCAGGCAAAAUGUUUGACAGAGGGCUAGAGAGCUGCUCCACAUCAUUAAGGAAAGCAGAGGUAGGGGGCGAGAGUGUGUGACCUCUGGAAGAAAUAACACACACUGACUGCAUCAAACAGUAAAAAAUUGCUAGAAAAGAAGAGGAUUAAACCCUUAAACCGCACUUGAAAUCACAUAUGCCCCAAAGUAGAGAAAUUCCAUCCUAUCUUGUUUUCUCCUUGUAUAAUUAGUCUUCAAAUACGCUUACUGGAGUGAGUGCAUUUGUCCCAAUCUAAGGAAACAAACGGAAUGAUGUAACUGGUUUCUUUCAGUUCCCACUUCAGUGCAACUUCACAAUACCCUUGGACUUCAGGGGAUUAAGUUCCUGUCUUGGCUGUGGUCCAGUUACUGGUCAUUGCUAUUUGUCGAUUAUCCCAGCAUUCCAGAAAACAUUUUAUCCCCUUCAUUAACUCACAAUUGACCAAUCACAUAAAUCAGGUUAAGGACUAGUGGACAUGUCUACAAAGAAAGGAGAGAUUCAAAGAAAGGCCAGAUUAAAUAACAGGUUGAAUCUGAUGUUUUUGAAGAUCUCUAUUCUUGAAAUUGCAAAUAAUGACCCUUGCAAAAAAAAGAGAACAUUAAUUAAAACUACCACUCUUUUGUUCACACUUCCCAAAGAUGAAGAAAUAUCAUUUCCCCAUAGCAAGUCCCUACCUUCUUAAAGAUGCAUUACUUGCUUCCAUCAUCAUGUUUAAAAACAUGUUAUUUACACAUAUAAAAUCUGUGAAUACAUGAAUGCACAGAUACAAAACCAUGUUAUGGGCUCACUGUGCUACCAGUGCACCAACAUUGGUGUGCUCCUGCGUAGACGACUGAACACCGUAGGCACACUGAUGCAAGACUGAACUCAGGUCUGCAUGAACCUUUAAUCCAGCCAGAGUAAGGAGAAGCCUUGGCACUGACUUCACUCAGAGCAAGACAGUGUCUUGUAUAAAAUCAGCCUUGCAGCUUUUUGUCUGAUGUGUUGGUGGCUUAGGACCAUUCUGGUUGCAGGUGUGUAGCUUCUCCUGCUUCAACACAAGGACCCUCAAGCCACCCGCAGAGUAACUUUUAGGGCUGCAGUUGUGGAUCCUGCCCUUCCUAUGCCUUCUUCUGUGUUUUGCCAUGCUGCAACCCUGGAGCUGUAGGAGAGUGAUGUGCCUAUUGUUGGUAUUGUUGGUAUUUUGAAUAUAUAUUUUUUUCUCGGUUUGACUUGGGGAUGAAUGUUUCCAAGAAUGUAACUGUCUGGGUUUUAAAUUGUACACUUCUGACAUGGGCUAUUCUCUGAGUUCUUGCGUAUGUGUGACCAACAUGUCUGUGUCUGUGGGCAGGACCAGUAAAUGCUGCCUGAUGAUGGGCGACUGGUGUGCCCACAUCCUCUCCAUCCAAGGCCUGGGCUGGUGUGGGCUCCCAGGGGGACAGGCAAAAUAUGUGGUUCCCUUCUUUUGGUGGCCAUGGGUUUGAUUUUCUGUAAUAAAACACAAGCGUUAUUUCUAUGUACAAAGACUGCUCUGCCUAAGCGAUUUUGACCCUACAAGAAGACAGACUGCAAUAUUAGUUACAUCAGGGAAGAGAAAUUGAAGCUACACAAUCAGUGUGGGACCUAUUCUUUUUUCUCUUCAAGGAGAUGGGGGCUGUCAUGCAGAGUAUAGAGAGCUUUUCUUCCUCUGCAUUUUCAAGGCACUGGCCUUCAUGGUAGACAUCUUCAUAGGCCCAAUAGCAGUGACUCUAUGGAGGUUUUGUACCACUCCAAGCACAGAGAUUCUUGACUUGGGUCUUGGAUCUGAAAGUUAGCAGAUAAGAGCUAUGGGCUAUCUCCAGCAAAAUGGAUCUUCAAGAGGGAAAAUCUGAUGCUAUUACAUCCAAGGAUUGGUAUGCACCUUGGUGCUUCUAUCCAAGACGCAGCUUUUAUGGGACACCAGAGUUAACUGAAGUGAAUCCUUCUGGCUUUGGGAUGCCCUAAUUUAAGUUGUUAUAGCAAAAAUAUAUAUUGUUAUAUGGUUAUAUAUUGUAAUAUAUAUAUAAUGUUAUAGCCACCAGCCAUGGGUGGCUGGAGGGCUGAGGGCACCAGCCAUUUCCUCUUGCUCAGAAUGGUCCUUGCUGGCCUUAAGUGCCACGCAUGUAGUGGUGAAUUAUGUAUGCAUGCGAUCUGUGUCUGGCAUUAAGACUUGCCUCCACCAAACGAUCCAGUUUGAAUUAUUAAAAACUCACCAGGGCUUUUCCUCACUGAGCUCCAAAUGUCUUCUUGUUUCCUGCUGAAGCUGUUGAAUGUUUUGAUAGGUGCCAAUGACACCGAGAGAUUACUGGAAGCUCUAGUUCUACCUGACCCUUCAAGGCUUGCAGAGGAGCAGAUAGUGGUGAUGGAGCUGGCACUGGCACCUUCACCAUUGCUGAUGCCUCCAUUACCUUUACCACCUCCCUCACCACUUCUGCAGAGUUGUUAGGAGCCAUGGCUGUGGCUGAUCCAUCAUCUGAAGAAACAGAUCCAGUGUUCAUAUGGCUGAUCAGAGUGCCAGGGGACUGGGCAGACCCUGUGGUGCAAAAGGUGAUGAGUAGUGAACAAUUUUUUUGACUGUUAGUGGAUUGGAAAUUCUUGGCCCCAAAGGCCAUGAGGGCACUAGAAGAUGGCAUGGAUUCUGUGACUUUAACAAAGAUUUCUUGAGGAGAGUAAUUGCCUCUGGAGGAACAUAAAACUGGAUUGUAGGAUUUGGGAGUUAAUAGUUUUAUCUUCUUAAUCCCAUGAAGGGCCUAUUGAAGGGGAGAGCAGAAAGCUGUCUAAUACCAGCAGCCCCAAAGCCUCUACACAUCCCACACUGCCUUUGGCUAUGCUACACAGCUUUCUUGGGCCUCCUGCUGUAAGUAGAACCUAAAUAAAUCCCCUCAGUAUCAGUGGACAAAUACACAGAUUUAUGCCAGAUUUAUGCCUUUAUGCCUCACCAUACUGGGACAGGUAUGAUGUAAGUCAGCACAAAUUUUAAGUUCAGAGGGUCUAAAGAAUGGAAGUGGUCCCUGGCUUGAGAUUCACUGAACUUAAUGCAUUACAUACAGACUGAUUUAAAAUCCCAGAUGCCAUUUGGCAUCCGUGCCUAGAUGAUGCCUAAAUAAGAGUAGUUUUUUAGCCAUUACUUUUAAGCAGUCUUCCUGGCAAAAGGACAAUGACAUAGUGUGCUGUGAUUGCAUUUGCACCAACUUUUCACUAAGUACUGAUUUAUGUUUAUUUAAUCACCAAUACUGGUUUAUAUGUUAUGCCUCAUUUCUUUAAACAGUAUGUUUCUCCCCAUCUCCCCCCACCAAAAAAAAAAUCAGUGUAAAGGAUUUAUGAUGGAAA